RNAcentral lists this ribosomal RNA (587 nucleotides) under uncultured bacterium. RNAcentral describes it as "partial 16S ribosomal RNA". It matches the Rfam family "Bacterial small subunit ribosomal RNA", at positions 355 to 932 of the family's 1533-position model. The record is from RNAcentral.
UGGGGAAUUUUGGACAAUGGGCGAAAGCCUGAUCCAGCAAUGCCGCGUGUGUGAAGAAGGCCUUCGGGUUGUAAAGCACUUUUGUCCGGAAAGAAAUCCUCUGGGUUAAUACCUCGGGGGGAUGACGGUACCGGAAGAAUAAGCACCGGCUAACUACGUGCCAGCAGCCGCGGUAAUACGUAGGGUGCAAGCGUUAAUCGGAANUUACUGGGCGUAAAGCGUGCGCAGGCGGUUUUGUAAGACGGAUGUGAAAUCCCCGGGCUUAACCUGGGAACUGCAUUCGUGACUGCAAGGCUAGAGUAUGGCAGAGGGGGGUAGAAUUCCACGUGUAGCAGUGAAANUGCGUAGAGAUGUGGAGGAAUACCGAUGGCGAAGGCAGCCCCCCUGGGCCAAUACUGACGCUCAUGCACGAAAGCGUGGGGAGCAAACAGGAUUAGAUACCCUGGUAGUCCACGCCCUAAACGAUGUCAACUAGUUGUUGGGGACUUCAUUUCCUUAGUAACGUAGCUAACGCGUGAAGUUGACCGCCUGGGGAGUACGGUCGCAAGAUUAAAACUCAAAGAAUUGACGGGGUCAUGCUGUUUCCU